RNAcentral lists this ribosomal RNA (305 nucleotides) under uncultured bacterium. RNAcentral's name for it is "bacterial SSU rRNA". It matches the Rfam family "Bacterial small subunit ribosomal RNA", at positions 335 to 639 of the family's 1533-position model. The record is from RNAcentral.
UGCCUACGGGGGGCAGCAGUGAGGAAUAUUGGUCAAUGGGCGGGAGCCUGAACCAGCCAAGUCGCGUGAAGGAAGAAGGUACUUAGUAUUGUAAACCUCUUUUGUCGGGGAGCAAAGCGAACCACGUGUGGUUCAUUGAGAGUACCCGAAGAAAAAGCAUCGGCUAACUCCGUGCCAGCAGCCGCGGUAAUACGGAGGAUGCGAGCGUUAUCCGGAUUUAUUGGGUUUAAAGGGUGCGCAGGCGGAGGUGCAAGUCAGCGGUCAAAUUGCGGGGCUCAACCCCGUACUGCCGUUGAAACUGCAUC